AUGAUACGAAAGAGCAUGGAUGCUUAUUCAGGGUGUUCUAACACCGUUACUGCGUCCAGUUUAAGGAGAAAGUGUUUUGUCCUUAACCAGUUAAGACCCAAACUUACACACAAUAAUCUCAGAAAAAGAAUGCUGCUCUCUCCUUUCUGUACACAGCAAGCAGUGUGCACACAAUUUGCAGACUACACGCUAUCAGCGAGACAGAGGCACGGGCAGGUCUUUGCGGGAAGGUCUGAAGGCAGACUCGGCAGGAACUGGGCAAACACAGGCGGUUUACUCGAUCAGACGACUCAGUUUAGUCACGUUUGAAUAAAAUAACUGAAUAUGAUUUGGCCAAGUUUCAUCGGCACAGAACUCAAGAUGCAGCCGCAGGGCAGGCUGUGGGCAGGCUCUCCGGCCCCUCGGCGCACUGCCGGGGGCUCAGCAGACAGCGCAGAGGGCAGGAACCUCAGCCCAGCGGUGGUUCCUCAUUGUUGACUUACAGUAAAAAUAACAAUUCAAUACACUUCCACGCACAAGAGCUUCUACAGUGGUUAUGAAAACAAGCACUUCAGCGGAACAGCAAGAAGGCAGAAACCCAGAAAGUAGUUUAAAACUCAGUGCUGGUUCGUCCUUGUGAAACCGAGCCCCUCACCUGACAGCCCACACGGCCUCUGUUGCGUGUUAGUGGCAACAUGUGCGGACAACUGGGCACACCUGUUUCAAGAGAGGCCACGUGUGUGUGUCCAGCCCAGUCUGGGGCCCAAGGACUCACUCCCCGUCCACCAGGCUCUGGGCGCUGCCCCUCCUGAAAUGGAACUGAAGCAGCUGUACUUGGGCCUCAAGUUCUUUCUAGCAUCAAUUCUAUCUAUGAACUUGUCAUUUGAAGUGGGAAUAAAUAACUGAAUUUUAAAAUCAACUUUUAUGUUUUUAGCUAAAAAAGUGCAAACUCACAACACAGCAGAGAACCAAGCCUGCAGCGCCUACAGCGCCCACGCCCAGCUUCCCUCCCCAUCACCCCAGUGGCGAAAACCCUGACAGUCAUGU
RNAcentral lists this long non-coding RNA (1026 nucleotides) under Sus scrofa (pig). RNAcentral's name for it is "lncRNA (ENSSSCG00005008107.1)". Lineage: Eukaryota; Metazoa; Chordata; Mammalia; Artiodactyla; Suidae. The record is from RNAcentral.